GAUGAACGCUGGCGGCGUGCCUAAUACAUGCAAGUCGAGCGAACAGACGAGGAGCUUGCUCCUCUGACGUUAGCGGCGGACGGGUGAGUAACACGUGGAUAACCUACCUAUAAGACUGGGAUAACUUCGGGAAACCGGAGCUAAUACCGGAUAAUAUAUUGAACCGCAUGGUUCAAUAGUGAAAGACGGUUUUGCUGUCACUUAUAGAUGGAUCCGCGCCGCAUUAGCUAGUUGGUAAGGUAACGGCUUACCAAGGCAACGAUGCGUAGCCGACCUGAGAGGGGGGAGGGCCAAAACGGGACGGGGAACAGGAGCAGACAACCAGGGGGGGAGACAAGAGGGAAAUCUACAGCAGGGGGAAAAGGCGGGAAGAAGAGACGCGGGGUGAGAGAGGAAGUUAUUAGUAUAGAAAAACUUGUUAAAGGGGGAAGAAAAAAUGUGUAAGUAAAAAGGCAGGUUAAAGAGAGACAAAAGAAAAAAACCACGGAAAAAUACGGG
Molecule: ribosomal RNA, 498 nt
Filed under: uncultured bacterium
Lineage: Bacteria
Description: partial 16S ribosomal RNA
Rfam family: Bacterial small subunit ribosomal RNA (bases 20-341)
Source: RNAcentral